This 112-nucleotide small RNA is filed under the name Rickettsia prowazekii. Its description in RNAcentral is "partial sR41 non-coding RNA". The record is from RNAcentral. Lineage: Bacteria; Pseudomonadati; Pseudomonadota; Alphaproteobacteria; Rickettsiales; Rickettsiaceae.
AUACACACAAAUCUGCAGCUAUAUUCAUAGAUUUUAGAGCAAUUUCCUCAGCAGUGAGAUUAUUCUCAUAAGACAUUAAAGCACGAGCUGCAGAAAGUGCAAAUAAACCGCC